This 498-nucleotide unclassified non-coding RNA is filed under the name uncultured Glomus. Its description in RNAcentral is "SSU rRNA". It matches the Rfam family "Eukaryotic small subunit ribosomal RNA", at positions 591 to 1092 of the family's 1831-position model. The record is from RNAcentral. Lineage: Eukaryota; Fungi; Glomeromycota; Glomeromycetes; Glomerales; Glomeraceae.
CCAAUAGCGUAUAUUAAAGUUGUUGCAGUUAAAAAGCUCGUAGUUGAAUUUCGGGAUCAGUACGCUGGUCGUGCCUUCGGUAUGUACUGGUGUUACUGGUUCCUACCUUCUGACGAACCGUCAUGUCAUUAAUUUGGUGUGGCGGGAAAUCAGGACUGUUACUUUGAAAAAAUUAGAGUGUUUAAAGCAGGCUCGCGCUUGAAUACAUUAGCAUGAAAUAAUGAAAUAGGACGUUCGAUCCUAUUUUGUUGGUUUCUAGGAUUGACGUAAUGAUUAAUAGGGAUAGUUGGGGGCAUUAGUAUUCAAUUGUCAGAGGUGAAAUUCUUGGAUUUAUUGAAGACUAACUACUGCGAAAGCAUUUGCCAAGGAUGUUUUCAUUAAUCAAGAACGAAAGUUAGGGGAUCGAAGACGAUCAGAUACCGUCGUAGUCUUAACCAUAAACUAUGCCGACUAGGGAUCGGAUGAUGUUAUUUUUAAUGACUCAUUCGGCGCCUUACG